This 2112-nucleotide ribosomal RNA is filed under the name Bacteroides thetaiotaomicron. Its description in RNAcentral is "bacterial LSU rRNA". It matches the Rfam family "Bacterial large subunit ribosomal RNA", at positions 783 to 2925 of the family's 2925-position model. Lineage: Bacteria; Pseudomonadati; Bacteroidota; Bacteroidia; Bacteroidales; Bacteroidaceae. The record is from RNAcentral.
UAAGCGUUGAAAAGCUUCCGGAUGAACUGAGGGUGGGGGUGAAAGGCUAAUCAAACUUGGAGAUAGCUCGUACUCCCCGAAAUGCAUUUAGGUGCAGCCUUGUGAGUUACUAAUGUGAGGUAGAGCGACUGAUAAGAUGCGAGGGCUUCACCGCCUAUCAAGUCUUGAUAAACUCCGAAUGCGCAUUAGUUCUAUCACAGGAGUGAGGGCAUGGGUGCUAAGGUCCAUGUCCUAAAGGAGAAGAAUCCAGACCAUCAGCUAAGGUCCCCAAAUAAACACUAAGUUGAACUAACGAAGUCAGAUUGCUAAGACAGCUAGGAUGUUGGCUUGGAAGCAGCCAUUCAUUUAAAGAGUGCGUAACAGCUCACUAGUCGAGGAGUUUGGCGUGGAUAAUAAUCGGGCAUUAAGUGUUUUACCGAAGCUAUGGGAUCAGUAAUGAUCGGUAGGGGAGCAUUCCACUCUGCGUCGAAGGUGAAGCGUGAGCUUUGCUGGAGCGUGUGGAAAAGCAAAUGUAGGUAUAAGUAACGAUAAAGGGGGUGAGAAACCCCCUCGCCGAAAGACUAAGGUUUCCUGAUCAACGCUAAUCGGAUCAGGGUUAGUCGGGUCCUAAGGCUCAGCCGAACGGUGAGGCCGAUGGCAGAACAGGUUAAUAUUCCUGUACUACCUUAAGGAGUGACGUGGAGACGGAGGCGUGACAGCGCCGCGGACUGACGGAAUAGUCCGUUGAAGGGUGUAGAUGUUGAUUAUCCCAGGCAAAUCCGGGAUAAGAGUCGAACCUGAUAGUAUGGAGCGUUCUUCGGAACAAUCCAAUAGUGCGUGUAAUCAUACUCCCAAGAAAAUCCGCUAAACUUAAUCCUUGAGGUACCCGUACCGCAAACGGACACACGUAGUCGGGUUGAAUAUACUAAGGCGCUUGAGUGAUUCACGGUUAAGGAACUAGGCAAAUUGACCCUGUAACUUCGGGAUAAAGGGUCCCAACGAGAGUUGGGCGCAGAGAAUAGGUCCAGGCAACUGUUUAACAAAAACACAGGGCUGUGCCAAAUUGAAAGAUUACGUAUACAGCCUGACACCUGCCCGGUGCUGGAAGGUUAAGAGGAGAUGUCAUCGCAAGAGAAGCAUUGAAUUGAAGCCCCAGUAAACGGCGGCCGUAACUAUAACGGUCCUAAGGUAGCGAAAUUCCUUGUCGGGUAAGUUCCGACCUGCACGAAUGGUGUAAUGAUCUGGACACUGUCUCAACCGUGAGCUCAGUGAAAUUGUAGUAUCGGUGAAGAUGCCGAUUACCCGCGAUGGGACGAAAAGACCCCGUGAACCUUUACUAUAGCUUAACAUUGAAUUUGGGUAAUUGAUGUGUAGGAUAGGCCGGAGACUUUGAAGCAGGUACGCCAGUAUUUGUGGAGUCGCUGUUGAAAUACGGCCCUUUGAUUAUUUGAGUUCUAACUCGUAGUUGCGAGGACACUGUUUGGUGGGUAGUUUGACUGGGGUGGUCGCCUCCAAAAUAGUAACGGAGGCUUCUAAAGGUGCCCUCAGGACGAUUGGUAACCGUCCGUAGAGUGUAAUGGCAUAAGGGCGCUUGACUGGGAGACUAACAAGUCGAUCAGGUAGGAAACUAGAGCAUAGUGAUCCGGUGUUUCCGUAUGGAAGGGACAUCGCUCAAAGGAUAAAAGGUACUCCGGGGAUAACAGGCUGAUCCCUCCCAAGAGCUCAUAUCGACGGAGGGGUUUGGCACCUCGAUGUCGGCUCGUCACAUCCUGGGGCUGGAGAAGGUCCCAAGGGUUGGGCUGUUCGCCCAUUAAAGUGGCACGCGAGCUGGGUUCAGAACGUCGUGAGACAGUUCGGUCUCUAUCUAUCGUGGGCGUAUGAAAUUUGCGUGGCUCUGACACUAGUACGAGAGGACCGUGUUGGACUGACCGCUGGUUUACCAGUUGUGCCGCCAGGUGCAUUGCUGGGUAUCUAAGUCGGGAUUGGAUAAGUGCUGAAAGCAUCUAAGUACGAAGCCAGCCACAAGAUUAGAUUUCUUAGGGUCGUUAAAGACGAUGACGUUGAUAGGAUGCAGGUGUAAAGGUGGUAACAUCAAAGCCGAGCAUUACUAAAUUGCCCGUUCACUUUCUUUUG